CAGCCGCCGCGGGAAUACAGAGGGUGCAAGCGUUAAUCGGAUUUACUGGGCGUAAAGCGUGCGUAGGUGGCUGUUUAAGUCGGAUGUGAAAGCCCUGGGCUUAACCUGGGAACUGCAUUCGAUACUGGAUAGCUAGAGAUCGGUAGAGGGCAGCGGAAUUCCGGGUGUAGCGGUGAAAUGCGUAGAUAUCCGGAGGAACACCGAUGGCGAAGGCAACUGCCUGGGCCUGAUCUGACACUGAGGCACGAAAGCGUGGGUAGCAAACAGGAUUAGAUACCCGCGUAGUCCCUGUCUCUUAUAC
RNAcentral lists this ribosomal RNA (301 nucleotides) under uncultured bacterium. RNAcentral's name for it is "partial 16S ribosomal RNA". It matches the Rfam family "Bacterial small subunit ribosomal RNA", at positions 509 to 807 of the family's 1533-position model. The record is from RNAcentral.